This 468-nucleotide long non-coding RNA is filed under the name Numida meleagris (helmeted guineafowl). RNAcentral describes it as "lncRNA (ENSNMEG00000020441.1)". Lineage: Eukaryota; Metazoa; Chordata; Aves; Galliformes; Numididae. The record is from RNAcentral.
UGAAAGACAUAAAAAUAUUUUCAGGCCAAAGAUCCUUGUAGCCUAAAUUUGACCUUGUAUGCGGAAAUUUUUCAUCUGCCUAGUCUUUCAAAUUAAAUGAAACUUAUAAAUACAUUCUGAUUUUUUUUUUAACUGUUGUUUACUACAGCUUAAUUAUGUGGAGAUACCACAGUGGAGAAUGCUGGGACUGAAAUACUGGAAAUGUGUCAGAUUGUGAUAAUAACAGAAGAAAAAAUUUCCUUCAAGAAAGAAACUUGACCACUGGGCAUAAUGUGCUGGUCAAGGGCAAAUCAGAAAGAACUACCAUUAAGAAGUCUGUGACCAGGUUUAUAUAGUAAAGCAUAUCCUUAUCUAUUCUCUCCCCCAUCCCACUGGGAAAUGGAGGAAUGAACGAACAACUUUAUGACACUUACGUACCUGCCAGGUUAAACCACAACAUGAUGUAGAACUGCACUCACAACAAACAGC